Molecule: ribosomal RNA, 576 nt
Filed under: uncultured Erysipelotrichaceae bacterium
Lineage: Bacteria; Bacillati; Bacillota; Erysipelotrichia; Erysipelotrichales; Erysipelotrichaceae
Description: bacterial SSU rRNA
Rfam family: Bacterial small subunit ribosomal RNA
Source: RNAcentral
CCUACGGGAGGCAGCAGUAGGGAAUUUUCGGCAAUGGGGGAAACCCUGACCGAGCAACGCCGCGUGAGUGAAGAGGGCCUUCGGGUUGUAAAGCUCUGUUGUAAGGGAAGAAGAUAUCAUAGAGGGAAUGCUAUGAUUGUGACGGUACCUUACCAGAAAGCCACGGCUAACUACGUGCCAGCAGCCGCGGUAAUACGUAGGUGGCGAGCGUUAUCCGGAAUUAUUGGGCGUAAAGGGUGCGUAGGCGGCACAUUAAGUCUAAGGUUAAAGUUCGAGGCUCAACUUCGGAUUGCCUUAGAAACUGGUGAGCUAGAGUGCAGGAGAGGGCAAUGGAAUUCCAUGUGUAGCGGUAAAAUGCGUAGAUAUAUGGAGGAACACCAGUGGCGAAGGCGGUUGCCUGGCCUGUAACUGACGCUGAGGCACGAAAGCGUGGGGAGCAAAUAGGAUUAGAUACCCUAGUAGUCCACGCUGUAAACGAUGAUUACUAAGUGUUGGAGAAAUUCAGUGCUGCAGUUAACGCAAUAAGUAAUCCGCCUGGGGAGUAUGCACGCAAGUGUGAAACUCAAAGGAAUGACG